This 754-nucleotide long non-coding RNA is filed under the name Malus domestica (apple). RNAcentral's name for it is "long non-coding RNA (MDOM_LNC006314)". The record is from RNAcentral. Lineage: Eukaryota; Viridiplantae; Streptophyta; Magnoliopsida; Rosales; Rosaceae.
GAAACCUUCCCCCCUCCCCCGACCGACAUCUCUCUCCUCCUAUCACCACUGCAACCCUUCCCCAUCACCAUCGCAACCCCUGAACCACUCCUCCCUCUUCACCUUCCCGACCCACCUUCUCCCUCCUCCACUCUCUCCUCCACUAUUUAAAUUAAAAAAAAAAAAAACCAAAAAAACCCAGAAACACCUCUUCUCCCACCCCUCCUGACCCUCAUCACCUUCACCGAGCCCAAACCCCUCCACCUCUGAUGCUCUUCACCACCACCAUGUCCAACCCUCUCCUCCUCACACUCCUCCGACCACCCGCCAUUCUCUUUCCCUAGAGACCCACUAUCUUCACCGCUUGUUUGGUCACAAUCAAGACUCCCAAACCCCGUCACAUAACCCUUCACAUCAAAUCUGAAACAAACCCACUAACCCAUAAACCAAAUCAGAAAGAAUCACAAAAUAAUAAUAAUAAUAAUAAUUGCAAGUAAAUGCAAAAUAACGAGAGAGAGAUGUCGGAGAUAACAAAGGAGAGGGAGGCGAGGGGUUGAGUGGCGGCUGGGGGAGGGUUGAGGGAAGGGAAUGAGUUGGAACCAGGGCUCUAUAAAUGGUUCAGACAUAAGGAUUUGGAUUUCAGUUCGACGUCGUCUUCGGCGGUGGGUCUGGGAGGGAGAAGGUGGGUCGGGAAGGUGAAGAAUGAGGAGUGGUCUGGGGGCUGCAAUGGUGAUGGGGAAAGGCUGCGAUGGUGAUGGGAGGAGAGGGAGGUGGG